AACGAACGCUGGCGGCAUGCCUAACACAUGCAAGUCGAACGAAGGCUUCGGCCUUGUGGCGCACGGGUGCGUAACGCGUGGGAAUCUGCCCUUUGGUUCGGAAUAACAGCUGGAAACGGCUGCUAAUACCGGAUGAUGACGAAAGUCCAAAGAUUUAUCGCCAGAGGAUGAGCCCGCGUUGGAUUAGGUAGUUGGUGGGGUAAAGGCCUACCAAGCCGACGAUCCAUAGCUGGUCUGAGAGGAUGAUCAGCCACACUGGGACUGAGACACGGCCCAGACUCCUACGGGAGGCAGCAGUGGGGAAUAUUGGACAAUGGGCGCAAGCCUGAUCCAGCAAUGCCGCGUGAGUGAUGAAGGCCCUAGGGUUGUAAAGCUCUUUUACCCGGGAAGAUAAUGACUGUACCGGGAGAAUAAGCCCCGGCUAACUCCGUG
RNAcentral lists this ribosomal RNA (432 nucleotides) under uncultured bacterium. Its description in RNAcentral is "partial 16S ribosomal RNA". It matches the Rfam family "Bacterial small subunit ribosomal RNA", at positions 29 to 507 of the family's 1533-position model. The record is from RNAcentral.